CCCAGGGAUCUUUAAUUUAACAACUUUCCAGCUGACUUUUAUGCAUGCUGAAAUUUGAGAACUACUGCAGCUGAGGGCCCCUCAUUUGCAUUUCUAACAAGCCACAGGUGUUGCUGGUGCUGCUGAAAGGCGGACUGGCUUUCGAGUAGCAGCGCUGUGAAAUAUUGUUUCCUGAGUGGACAUUGAGGCCAACACUUCAGAGCUUUGAGGGAUGCAUGCUAAGUUUUUCUCCUCUCCAGAGAUGAAGAAAAUGAGGUUUGGAGAAGUUCGAACAUUUCUGAGAGUACGUCAGAUAAACACAACUCCCAGUCCUCGCAAGCUACGCAGUCCUGACACCUCGAAGGUGGCACACCCUUAGGCCGUAGCACAAAAGGCUUUGUGCAACAUGAUUUAGAAGAUUCCUCUAAACUCAAAAGUAUUAGUCACAACAUAAUUCAAGGAUAAUUAUGAACUGGUGCUUCACCUAAAGUACAAAAGGUUUCAUAAAUAAUCCUCGGAGCAGCCUUGCAACUAACCAUGACUUAGGCCAACUGGAAUGCAGUGCUGAGUGUUUCACAGAUGCCACCAGGAUGGCAAUCCAAUUCCCCAGUGGUCUCUGUGGCAUCCUAAGACAAUCAGUGUACAUCAACGAAACUAUAACUUUUAUUAUUAAUUAAUCUUGCUGCUUCCCACAAUUACUAUUAUGUUAGUUACCAAAUGACAUGAAAAAAUCUCAAUUAAAAAGAAAAAAGAAAACAGUGUGGCCAUUUCAGUACUGAAAUGGUACUGAAAACAAAUUUUUGAGAAUUUAAGAAUCAAGAGAUUGUAGGUAGUAGGUAGACUUAGGUGGCUAUUUUAAGAGUCCAGGCCAGUGAGAAAGGAAAUAUAUUCUAUAUGAGAUGGCAAUAAGUGUUAAGAGAAGAAAGCAAGCAGGAGUGCUGGGGCACAUUGAGUUUAGAGUUUCUGUUUCAUAUGGGAUAGAAAGGGAAGGCUUCCAAAAAAAUGUCAGUAACAGUCAUUCUUCUGUGAUAAUUUACAGAGCUAUCAACUCAUAUUCUGUGCUCUUUUCUGCGUGUGUUUUAUAUUUCAAAAAUGUUUUUAAAAGUUCACUUCUCUGGCCAUGCUGAGGCCGCGUCCCACAUACAGCAACUAGAAGGAUGUGCAGCUAUGACAUACAACUAUCUACUGGGGCUUUGGGGGAAAAAAUAAAUAAAUAAAAUCUUUAAAA
This is a long non-coding RNA of Diceros bicornis minor, 1207 nucleotides long. RefSeq lists it as uncharacterized. The transcript is spliced from 4 exons. The record is from RefSeq and is a predicted model, not a curated record. NCBI's taxonomy places the organism in Eukaryota, Metazoa, Chordata, Mammalia, Perissodactyla, Rhinocerotidae.